RNAcentral lists this ribosomal RNA (253 nucleotides) under uncultured bacterium. RNAcentral's name for it is "partial 16S ribosomal RNA". It matches the Rfam family "Bacterial small subunit ribosomal RNA", at positions 524 to 776 of the family's 1533-position model. The record is from RNAcentral.
UACGAAGGGGGCUAGCGUUGUUCGGAAUUACUGGGCGUAAAGCGCACGUAGGCGGACUAUUAAGUCAGGGGUGAAAUCCCGGGGCUCAACCCCGGAACUGCCUUUGAUACUGGUAGUCUCGAGUCCGGGAGAGGUGAGUGGAAUUCCUAGUGUAGAGGUGAAAUUCGUAGAUAUUAGGAAGAACACCAGUGGCGAAGGCGGCUCACUGGCCCGGUACUGACGCUCAUGUGCGAAAGCGUGGGGAGCAAACAGG